This 270-nucleotide unclassified non-coding RNA is filed under the name Hevea brasiliensis (rubber tree). The record is from RNAcentral. Lineage: Eukaryota; Viridiplantae; Streptophyta; Magnoliopsida; Malpighiales; Euphorbiaceae.
ACUCAUUAAACGCACUGCAUCUGAUAUUUCCUCGUGCUUGAAAAGGCAUAUCACGACCUUCUACAGGAGCCUUCAUAUUAGACUCUGAUAACCUGAGGGAAAGACCAGAUGACAUCAAGGACCAUGGACUGGCAAGCGAGUUAAUCUUGCCUUCCUGAUCUAAUGCAAGUUCUCUGCUAGCGGCUGCUGCAGUUUGAUCAACAAAGGGUACACCAAAUCCAUGGGAGGAAUCAGCACGUGUCCCAAAGCCUGAUAACAAAUCUGUGUAGG